UACGUAGGGGGCUAGCGUUGCUCGGAUUGACUGGGCGUAAAGGGCGCGUAGGCGGUUCGUACAGUCAGACGUGAAAUUCCUGGGCUCAACCUGGGGGCUGCGUUUGAUACGUGCGGACUUGAGUGCGGAAGAGGGGUCGUGGAAUUCCCAGUGUAGAGGUGAAAUUCGUAGAUAUUGGGAAGAACACCGGUGGCGAAGGCGGCGACCUGGUCCGAUACUGACGCUGAGGCGCGAAAGCGUGGGGAGCAAACAGG
This 254-nucleotide ribosomal RNA is filed under the name uncultured bacterium. RNAcentral describes it as "partial 16S ribosomal RNA". It matches the Rfam family "Bacterial small subunit ribosomal RNA", at positions 524 to 776 of the family's 1533-position model. The record is from RNAcentral.